GAUGAACGCUGGCGGCGUGCCUAAUACAUGCAAGUCGAGCGAACGGACGAGAAGCUUGCUUCUCUGAUGUUAGCGGCGGACGGGUGAGUAACACGUGGAUAACCUACCUAUAAGACUGGGAUAACUUCGGGAAACCGUAGCUAAUACCGGAUAAUAUUUUGAACCGCAUGGUUCAAAAGUGAAAGACGGUUUUGCUGUCACUUAUAGAUGGAUCCGCGCUGCAUUAGCUAGUUGGUAAGGUAACGGCUUACCAAGGCAAUGAUGCGUAGCCGACCUGAGAGGGUGAUCGGCCACACUGGAACUGAGACACGGUCCAGACUCCUACGGGAGGCAGCAGUAGGGAAUCUUCCGCAAUGGGCGAAAGCCUGACGGAGCAACGCCGCGUGAGUGAUGAAGGUCUUCGGAUCGUAAAACUCUGUUAUUAGGGAAGAACAUAUGUGUAAGUAACUGUGCACGUCUUGACGGUACCUAAUCAGAAAGCCACGGCUAACUACGUG
RNAcentral lists this ribosomal RNA (497 nucleotides) under uncultured bacterium. RNAcentral's name for it is "partial 16S ribosomal RNA". It matches the Rfam family "Bacterial small subunit ribosomal RNA", at positions 28 to 507 of the family's 1533-position model. The record is from RNAcentral.